Molecule: non-coding RNA, 3154 nt
Organism: Podarcis muralis (Common wall lizard)
Lineage: Eukaryota; Metazoa; Chordata; Lepidosauria; Squamata; Lacertidae
Source: RefSeq, a predicted model, not a curated record
CCAGCCUCCCUCCCUCCCUCUCCUCCCCCCAUCUUAUUUUCCAUCCUCUUUCAACCAUCAUCCACUCAUUUUAAUUACGCAGAACGAGUUGCAACUCAUCCGCCUGGAAGUUAUAUUAAAAGGGGGAGGGGGAAGAGAAGAAGAAGAGAAAGAAAGACUCUGAGAGGGAUGGGAAUAGGAGGGGGGGGAGAGAGAAACAGAUGAGGGUGGAUUUGUGUGCUUAAAAGAUGGCACGAUAAACAACGCUCCUUGCCUCGCAGUAAAUUUUAAAGCAACAUUUUUAUUUUAAGCAUCCUCCUAUGUCAGCAGAAACUUUUGAAAGAAAUGCCUCUCUGCUCCCUUCCUCUCUCAUCCCCUCUGUUUGGAUGUGCCCUCCGUGAACAGCAGAAUUCAUCUUCAGAUGUGGUUUAUUUUUUUUUAAUGUAAAGACAGACGAUUUGGUUUUUUUAAAAAAAAUGAGAGGGAAAGAAAAACAAACCACACUGCAACUCACUGAUGCCUGUGAGGGAAGAACAAAGCUGGCGAGGUGUGGGAGUGAAGUAGUUGCCAUCGCUUUUAUAUUGUGCCUCCUCAUCUUUAUCAGCAGCCCAUAGGAGAUGUUUCCCUGACUUGGGUCUUCCACUUGAAAACAUUUCAUCUGUAAUUCACAAGAUAGGUCUGUUGCAUGAAAACAUUUGUAUCCAGGGAAAAGUGCUUGAAGGGGGCUUAAAAUCAAAAAGCAGCAUCAAAGACAUAAGACCCUGCUCUAACGUGGGUCUUCCUUAAUGGAACAUGUGGGCGUCAGUGGUGUUACAUCUUGCCAGUGUAUUACUGGUGAUGUACUUGCUCCAAGUCCUCUUUCUACAAUACCUUGGUAUAUUUGGAUCAGACAGCUGGCUUCUCUCCAAUGUCUCUAUAAUUCACAAGUGCCUUCCUACAAGUUGAAAGCUUCUUUCUUUAAUAUAUUUAUAAAAUAUCUGUAAAACAUUUUCUUGAGUGCCGCAUUCCAUGAACUUUUCCAAAGGGGGAAAGUUGAAGAAAAAGAGGCAGGUGCCGGCAGAGUAAAGGUACAGUGGAAAAAUCCUGAUGCCUCAUUGUUUCCUAACAUGAGCCUUAUUCUGUUCUUCUAUGUUGGAAGAAAGGCUGCUACUAUGAGGAAAACUUUGUGCCAUUUGUUUUGACAGUUUGAUAUAAAGGUGCCCCAUUUUGAAACUUUAUUAGUAAACAUUCAUUGGAAGUCUUUUUAAACAUUUUGAAAUACGUUUCUUGCUUGCCCUCCCUACCAUUUAAAGGGAGAGACUUUAAAGCUUUUCAAGUAAUCAGGGUAUCUUGGAUAAUGCAUAUGCCAAUGAUCAUGUUUAUGGGGAGCUAGGAAGUACCCUCACUUGGGGACAUGCUAUGAGCCCCAUUUUGAACAUGAAAUGUACAAAUGUCUUCCCUUUAGACUACUAUUGCUAUAGCAGAUUUUUAAAUUUAAGUUUAAAAAUAUCCAAUUUGGUAAAUGUAUACUAAGUUUCAGGGCUCUGUGUCUCUGGGAAGCAUUCUAUAUUAUCACAUAUACACAGAUAGCAACAUGCCCUCAUGCUUCUGAAUCUGUAGAAUUAAAUGUGGAGAUGAGACCUAAAGACUGUUUGACUCAAAGUAUCUUUAUUGAAAAUUCCAUGGAAUCAAUGGCAAAACUUCAGCUGUUGCAAUGAAACAUUUAUUCAGCAUUUCUUUCCCACAGUCUUUCAUUCUAAAUAUUUUGAGCUUUCUAAUACAUCCAUUAAAAGAUUGAAAAUGAACACUUGGGAUAACAUAUCCACUUGCCUUGCAGCAAGAAGAAAAUCAAUUUGGCCCCCAUCAAUGGCCAGAGGACCACAACUAGGAACCAGUCCCUUCCGGAAAGAGCUCUGCUGCAACGGUUGGUCAGUUGCUCUGUAGCUGCAAAGGCCAAGGGAAGGACAUCCUGGCCCACUGCCAGCUCCAUAAUUACAGUAAAUGUAUAGGAAAGCAAAGUAAUCAAACAUAUGGAGCACUACUAUAUGGUUAGUCUAUUGAAAAUGUUGAAAACUAAUGUUACAAUGCUUUCAGAGACACUCAAUAAGGUAAUCAACUUGGUUUUAAGCAUGUGCUUAAGGAUAUACAUAUUCCUGCAAACACACAACUUUCACCCCAAAACUUGUAGGAGUACCAACACAUACACAACUCCUAAAAUUGCAGGUUCCUUCUGUUUUAUGCAAAGAGGAAGAAAAACAUUAAAAUUUACAAAAAGUGAUGCAGUUCAUUGGCUUCAUGUGGGAGAAAUGAUGUGGUUAAACAUACACAAACAAACAAACAAACAUGCUCUGGGUUAUGAUUUACUUUGUUUCAAACUAGAGCUACAAGAUGUCUAGAGAAUUAUUUGAAACAUACAUAAAUCUCCUCCUAAGGUAAUAUAUCACCAACACAUUGAGUGACUGCCAACAUGUUAUGCCCUUCAGGAAAAAAAAUGUUAUUUGGAAAACUAAAGUUUUUUUUAAUACAAAAAAUGAAUUAAUUUCUUAGAACAGUAAUCCAAAAUCUUUUUCAAAAAAACUAUGCCAGAUGUUUUAGUAACAGUUUAUGAAUUGAUAUCAUUAUCAUUCCCUUAUAACCCAUGCCCCCCUCUCCAAACCCUCUUUUUCACUUACUAUAAAACAGUUACUUUAUCAUGAGAGAAUGCUACAAGCAUAUGAUAUAGCAACCAAAUGGAAAACAGAAGGAUCUUCCAUAUCCAUGCUGCUGCUGUGAGAAACAUUUGAUUUCCUUGGUAAACUGAGAGUGCCAGCCAAUGUGUUAUUUGCUAGAUAUUACUGAGUAUUGUUACUGCUUGCCCAUUUGCUACCAGGUCACAUUCAAAGUGCUACUAUUAUAUUAGUACUAUUAUAUUAUUCAUAAAGUAUGUAAAUACGCCUUUGUAUAUUUCUAAAUACCUGUUUUUUCCAAUAAUUUUAAUGUUUUGAUUUAAUGUAAACCAUGUAGAGGUUUAUUUUCAAUCAAGCAGUAUAUAAAUGUUGUUGAAUAAAAAGAAAAUAAAAAAACAGUUAUCCUUGAGACUAUCCAAAGACUAUGUUUACAUCCACAUUUUAAUCCAGCUCUAGAUGGGUAUUGUUAGGUGCUCCAGAAUGUGCAUAUGGAUGUGCAUCUAACUGACAGCUGUGUGGUAUGGACAAAU